RNAcentral lists this long non-coding RNA (571 nucleotides) under Parus major (Great Tit). RNAcentral describes it as "lncRNA (ENSPMJG00000002907.1)". Lineage: Eukaryota; Metazoa; Chordata; Aves; Passeriformes; Paridae. The record is from RNAcentral.
AUCGUUGUGCAACUCAGGAGGAUCUGGUCAGUGCUCAGUCAGCUCACUUUCUGCUCCCACUAGCAGGUAGCCCGCAGUUUGGCCAAGGAUGACUGUCAGGAAGAAGCCACAAUUCUCAGAACCAUGUGAAAAGGACAAGGAGCUGGUGACAUUGUAUCACAGAAUAGAAGAUAGCAGCUGAGGACAACAAGCAACAAUCAACAUGGGGUGAAGUUUGAAAGGAAAGAAUGCAGCAGUACUGAAUGGAUUCUGCAAAGGCCCUGUAAUGUUCCCAGUAUAUUACACAUAAGUCAAUUUAUAAUUCUUCCUGACCCCCAUGUUACUUCUUCAUGAACUCUGUGGUGUUCCUCAGGUGAUGGGAAAGGUGAUGCUUUUGCAGGAGCCUGCACAGCAGCAAGCAGCUGAGAAUUCACAGGAAGGACUCCUUUGGACAAUUCACGGAGGUCAGGAAAUCCAUGAGAGUGUUUUGAUGAGCGGUUUGUAAUGGUACACUUAGUAAGCUGUAGAGCAAAAAUGUUAACUCCAGCAGGAUUAAAAUAAACUGAGUUUGAGAAGAUGGGUGUUCUUAACC